Molecule: long non-coding RNA, 1049 nt
Organism: Anarrhichthys ocellatus (wolf-eel)
Lineage: Eukaryota; Metazoa; Chordata; Actinopteri; Perciformes; Anarhichadidae
Exons: 3
Source: RefSeq, a predicted model, not a curated record
ACAUCUGGUUCAUUGUAGUGAGGGAUACUGCACAUCUGGUUUAUUACUCAGAUUUGGUCAUCCAAUACAAAGACUCUUCUAUUCAAUGACUAUUCAAUUAGUUCAGUGAUGAUUUUAGCCACAUUAACGUAAUCAAAUGAGGUCAUAGGCGGCCCAUAGCAGUUUCAUAAUAACCCUGAAAUAUGUUUAAACCUCUCAACGGGUGAGGUCAGCCUGGGUAAUUCAACUGGUUUAUCCUCAACGUGCUGUUCGUUGCUUUAUUCUCUGAAGCUCCAGAGGACGUACAAACCGAACUAACUGUGAAGAAUCAAACAACACGAGUGUAACCGACUACACACCAUAAACUAACCUCCACUAUAGAGAGGAGGGAUUGUAAUUAUCUGUAAAGUCAUAUCUCAUGUUCAUGGACGACUUUAUUGCCUUUAGGUCAAGUAUUAAAUGUGUUAUAAAGAAACAAAGGUUGAAUGUCCUGUAAACUAUUUUGAACUUUCACUGCUGUUUCUAAAGCCUCUAAAAACUAACUUCUUUGUCAAAACUUUCAGACGUGUGAAUAUUUCUGUCGGUUAAACCUCCAGCUCAGUGUGUUUCCCUCACGGACGCCUCUUAAACACACACACAUGCAUCCUGUGUAAAUCUGUGUGUGUGUGUGCGUUGUGUUUCCAGCCCUCGGCCGGCCAGUAAAGGUGUAGAAGGUCUGGCCAGAGUCGGCUCCAGAGCAGCGCUCUCCUUCGCCUUUGCUUUCCUGCGUCGAGCCUGGAGGUCAGGAGACGAUGCGGACCUCUGCAGCGAGCUUCUCCAGGAGUCUCUGGAUGCGCUGCGAGCUCUACCAGAAGCCACGCUGUUCGACGAGGGAACCGUGUCGUCGGUUUGGCUCGAAGUGGUCGAGCGGGCCACCAAGUUCCUCAGUGACGUACACGGAAGCGCCAGCACCAAAGGCAACAUUCCUCUGCAGGACCAGCACCUCGCCCUGGCCAUCCUGCUGGAGCUGGCUGUGCAGAGGGGCACUCUCAGGUAAACCCUCGAUACCUCAUGACAUCCUGCUGCAGAUA